Acomys russatus (golden spiny mouse) is the source of this 1605-nucleotide long non-coding RNA. RefSeq lists it as uncharacterized. The transcript has 4 exons. The record is from RefSeq and is a predicted model, not a curated record. Lineage: Eukaryota; Metazoa; Chordata; Mammalia; Rodentia; Muridae.
GCAGCGCUUUAUGGCAGGCCACCCCUGUCUUGACACCGUAUGGCUUUUUCUGUGCAAGUGAACAUUCAUCUCCUGAGUGCUGGAUUUUAGGCACCAUUGCAGAUCCUCAUUUUUUUGUCAGAUUUUGUUCCCUUCUUUAAUAUAAUCAUCCACUUUUUAUGGACUGACAUCCCAAUACAUAAAAUCCUUUGAACAAGAAAUAGAUAUUGGUUUGUUUAUGCACCUGAAUGUAUAAAGGUCUCAGGUCUGACUCAUAUCCCCAUGUCCCACUGGUAAGGAGAGAGUGUGGUAAAUUAGGCUAGUUGACAUUUACCAGGAAAAGACGGAUUCAAAGAGGAUAACACAAUGAUAUUUCAUGGGAACCUAGCUCAUUUUAUGGUAACUAAGUCAUAAAAUCAAUAUGUAAAAUCCUUUCAGAAAUUAAAAACACGUUGAUUUAAGGGACGUUCGGCUGGCUGUGCUUCCUUGCCGAUAGCAUGGCCCUGGAAUGUACAGAAGAAAAUGAAAAUGCAACUAAUAUGAAAAUGGAAAAAAGAUGGGCUUGAGAACACAGAACUAUUGUUUCACCUUUUGCCUGAGAAUUGCCCAAGGUGUGGCGUGGAUGGCCUCUGUAACUAGUCUUCCAUGUGUCCUGCAGUGAACUGGAUGCAUUGUGAAAGGCUAUAGCUGUGCUUUCCCGUGCCUAAGGGUUCAUCUGCACACCAUCACCUGCCCCAACAAGGGACUUUUGAAAUAAAGGAAUAUGAGGGACAUACCACUGGAACCGGGAGCCUCAAGUCUUCAGCCAUCUAUAUUGCAUUGUCCACCCAGUGUUCCUAGGUUUCCAGAGGUCUGAUUCUAUCUCGAUGCGAAGGAUGCAGAGCACGCCGACGCUCAGGUGAUGUUGGCGUGCUUGGAGGCAGCUGUUUGUGGACCACAGUGUUCUAGCAGCUCCAGUCCACAGCUGCUGUGCACAGUGACAGGAUUCUAACAGCACAAUGAAACUUCAAAACAAAGCAGUGGACUCUAGCAGUAUUUCUGUUGUGAAGACAGGACCAUGAGACCGGGAGAAAGUCCAGAAAAUGAAGAUUUGGGAUCAAGCAACUCACCCUUGUGAUUGCCCAAGAGUGAUUAAUUUCACUUUCAGUGCCUUCCUUCCCGAGCCAGAGUGCUUCUGUGGAGACCCCUAAUUCAGUGAAACCUGUUUAGGGGAUCAUCCCAGCUAGACAGACAGCUGCGCGGGCAUUCGCUUCCCAGCAUGGAUUUCAGAUUAUGGCCGAUCAAGGGCCAGAGCUAAGGAACACCUGUCAACGACGUCGCUACAAGGAGACCAGCUCUUUAAUCGACUUUCAUUGUACUUGAGAAAAAGGUUUAUUUUAAAUGUGGCGUCUGCUUUUAUGAUUCAUCCUUCUCAGCUGAGACAUCAAUUUGGGGCUUAUUUAUGAUAUUGUUCUAGGGUGAAACAAGAAACUGCAAGAAAAUAUUUCAAAAAGGCAGCCUUUCCCAGACAAUCAAUUUGCAGCUUUCUCAUGUGGAAAAAUAAAAGAGAAAUCUAAAACUUUAGUUUUGAGCAUUUGUAUGUGAAUAUAAUUAGUGAUAGGGAUUCUUCGUUGCACACUUUCAGAA